This 452-nucleotide ribosomal RNA is filed under the name uncultured bacterium. RNAcentral describes it as "bacterial SSU rRNA". It matches the Rfam family "Bacterial small subunit ribosomal RNA", at positions 29 to 524 of the family's 1533-position model. The record is from RNAcentral.
AGCGAACGCUGGCGGCAGGCUUAACACAUGCAAGUCGAGCGGCCGUAGCAAUACGGCAGCGGCAGACGGGAGAGUAACACGUGGGAACGUGCCUAUCAGUUCGGAACAACCCAGGGAAACUUGGGCUAAUACCGGAUACGCCCUUACGGGGAAAGAUUUAUCGCUGAUAGAGCGGCCCGCGUCUGAUUAGCUUGUUGGUGAGGUAACGGCUCACCAAGGCGACGAUCAGUAGCUGGUCUGAGAGGAUGAUCAGCCUCACUGGGACUGAGACACGGCCCAGACUCCUACGGGAGGCAGCAGUGGGGAAUAUUGGACAAUGGGCGCAAGCCUGAUCCAGCCAUGCCGCGUGAAUGAUGAAGGCCCUAGGGUUGUAAAGUCCUUUCGGCGGGGAAGAUAAUGACGGUACCCGCAGAAGAAGCCCCGGCUAACUUCGUGCCAGCCGCCGCGGUAAU